UACGUAGGGGGGCAAGCGUUGUCCGGAAUCAUUGGGCGUAAAGCGCGCGUAGGCGGCCCGGUAAGUCCGCUGUAAAAGUCCAGGGCUCAACCCUGGAAAGCCGGUGGAUACUGUCGGGCUAGAGUCCGGAAGAGGCGAGUGGAAUUCCUGGUGUAGCGGUGGAAUGCGCAGAUAUCAGGAGGAACACCGAUGGCGAAGGCAGCUCGCUGGGACGGUGACUGACGCUGAGGCGCGAAAGCGUGGGGAGCGAACAGG
RNAcentral lists this ribosomal RNA (255 nucleotides) under uncultured bacterium. Its description in RNAcentral is "partial 16S ribosomal RNA". It matches the Rfam family "Bacterial small subunit ribosomal RNA", at positions 524 to 776 of the family's 1533-position model. The record is from RNAcentral.